UACGUAGGUGGCAAGCGUUGUCCGGAUUUACUGGGUGUAAAGGGCGUGCAGCCGGGGAAGCAAGUCAGAUGUGAAAUCCACGGGCUUAACUCGUGAACUGCAUUUGAAACUGCGUUUCUUGAGUAUCGGAGAGGUAACCGGAAUUCCUAGUGUAGCGGUGAAAUGCGUAGAUAUUAGGAAGAACACCAGUGGCGAAGGCGGGUUACUGGACGACAACUGACGGUGAGGCGCGAAAGCGUGGGGAGCAAAC
This 250-nucleotide ribosomal RNA is filed under the name uncultured prokaryote. Its description in RNAcentral is "partial 16S ribosomal RNA". It matches the Rfam family "Bacterial small subunit ribosomal RNA", at positions 524 to 773 of the family's 1533-position model. The record is from RNAcentral.